RNAcentral lists this ribosomal RNA (202 nucleotides) under uncultured bacterium. RNAcentral's name for it is "partial 16S ribosomal RNA". It matches the Rfam family "Bacterial small subunit ribosomal RNA", at positions 524 to 724 of the family's 1533-position model. The record is from RNAcentral.
UACGUAGGGUCCGAGCGUUGUCCGGAAUUACUGGGCGUAAAGCGUGCGCAGGCGGCUUCUUAGGCAUGACGUGAAAGCCCCGGGCUCAACCCGGGAGGGUCGUCGUGAACCGGGGGCUUGAGGCCGGUAGAGGUGGGGUGGAACUCCUGGUGGAGUGGUGAAAUGCGUAGAGAUCAGGAAGAACACCCGUGGCGAAAGGCGG